UACGUAGGGGGCAAGCGUUGUCCGGAUUUAUUGGGCGUAAAGAGCGUGUAGGCGGCCAUACAGGUCAGCUGUGAAAACUCGAGGCUCAACCUCGAGACGUCGGUUGAAACCGUAUGGCUAGAGUCCGGAAGAGGAGAGUGGAAUUCCCGGUGUAGCGGUGAAAUGCGCAGAUAUCAGGAAGAACACCUAUGGCGAAGGCAGCACUCUGGGACGGUACUGACGCUGAGACGCGAAAGCGUGGGGAGCGAACAGG
RNAcentral lists this ribosomal RNA (253 nucleotides) under uncultured bacterium. Its description in RNAcentral is "partial 16S ribosomal RNA". It matches the Rfam family "Bacterial small subunit ribosomal RNA", at positions 524 to 776 of the family's 1533-position model. The record is from RNAcentral.